This 1497-nucleotide ribosomal RNA is filed under the name Klebsiella pneumoniae. Its description in RNAcentral is "bacterial SSU rRNA". It matches the Rfam family "Bacterial small subunit ribosomal RNA". The record is from RNAcentral. Lineage: Bacteria; Pseudomonadati; Pseudomonadota; Gammaproteobacteria; Enterobacterales; Enterobacteriaceae.
AAAUUGAAGAGUUUGAUCAUGGCUCAGAUUGAACGCUGGCGGCAGGCCUAACACAUGCAAGUCGAGCGGUAGCACAGAGAGCUUGCUCUCGGGUGACGAGCGGCGGACGGGUGAGUAAUGUCUGGGAAACUGCCUGAUGGAGGGGGAUAACUACUGGAAACGGUAGCUAAUACCGCAUAACGUCGCAAGACCAAAGUGGGGGACCUUCGGGCCUCAUGCCAUCAGAUGUGCCCAGAUGGGAUUAGCUAGUAGGUGGGGUAACGGCUCACCUAGGCGACGAUCCCUAGCUGGUCUGAGAGGAUGACCAGCCACACUGGAACUGAGACACGGUCCAGACUCCUACGGGAGGCAGCAGUGGGGAAUAUUGCACAAUGGGCGCAAGCCUGAUGCAGCCAUGCCGCGUGUGUGAAGAAGGCCUUCGGGUUGUAAAGCACUUUCAGCGGGGAGGAAGGCGGUGAGGUUAAUAACCUCAUCGAUUGACGUUACCCGCAGAAGAAGCACCGGCUAACUCCGUGCCAGCAGCCGCGGUAAUACGGAGGGUGCAAGCGUUAAUCGGAAUUACUGGGCGUAAAGCGCACGCAGGCGGUCUGUCAAGUCGGAUGUGAAAUCCCCGGGCUCAACCUGGGAACUGCAUUCGAAACUGGCAGGCUAGAGUCUUGUAGAGGGGGGUAGAAUUCCAGGUGUAGCGGUGAAAUGCGUAGAGAUCUGGAGGAAUACCGGUGGCGAAGGCGGCCCCCUGGACAAAGACUGACGCUCAGGUGCGAAAGCGUGGGGAGCAAACAGGAUUAGAUACCCUGGUAGUCCACGCCGUAAACGAUGUCGAUUUGGAGGUUGUGCCCUUGAGGCGUGGCUUCCGGAGCUAACGCGUUAAAUCGACCGCCUGGGGAGUACGGCCGCAAGGUUAAAACUCAAAUGAAUUGACGGGGGCCCGCACAAGCGGUGGAGCAUGUGGUUUAAUUCGAUGCAACGCGAAGAACCUUACCUGGUCUUGACAUCCACAGAACUUUCCAGAGAUGGAUUGGUGCCUUCGGGAACUGUGAGACAGGUGCUGCAUGGCUGUCGUCAGCUCGUGUUGUGAAAUGUUGGGUUAAGUCCCGCAACGAGCGCAACCCUUAUCCUUUGUUGCCAGCGGUCCGGCCGGGAACUCAAAGGAGACUGCCAGUGAUAAACUGGAGGAAGGUGGGGAUGACGUCAAGUCAUCAUGGCCCUUACGACCAGGGCUACACACGUGCUACAAUGGCAUAUACAAAGAGAAGCGACCUCGCGAGAGCAAGCGGACCUCAUAAAGUAUGUCGUAGUCCGGAUUGGAGUCUGCAACUCGACUCCAUGAAGUCGGAAUCGCUAGUAAUCGUAGAUCAGAAUGCUACGGUGAAUACGUUCCCGGGCCUUGUACACACCGCCCGUCACACCAUGGGAGUGGGUUGCAAAAGAAGUAGGUAGCUUAACCUUCGGGAGGGCGCUUACCACUUUGUGAUUCAUGACUGGGGUGAAGUCGUA